UACGAAGGGGGCGAGCGUUGUUCGGAAUUACUGGGCGUAAAGGGCGCGCAGGCGGCCCUUGAAGUCAGGCGUGAAAGCCCCGGGCUCAACCUGGGAGGUGCGCUUGAUACUCGAGGGCUUGAGUGCGGGAGAGGAGAGUGGAAUUCCCAGUGUAGAGGUGAAAUUCGUAGAUAUUGGGAAGAACACCGGUGGACGAAGGCGGCUCUCUGGACCGUAACUGACGCUGAGGCGCGAAAGCGUGGGGAGCAAAGCAGG
This 255-nucleotide ribosomal RNA is filed under the name uncultured bacterium. Its description in RNAcentral is "partial 16S ribosomal RNA". It matches the Rfam family "Bacterial small subunit ribosomal RNA", at positions 524 to 777 of the family's 1533-position model. The record is from RNAcentral.